CGGGCGCGUGGCGGGUGGUGCCCGACGGCGUCCGCGACGUCGUCCGGGAGCGCCUCGCCCGGCUGCCGGAGUCCUCGGCCCUGGUGCUCGGC
Molecule: transfer RNA, 92 nt
Filed under: Spirilliplanes yamanashiensis
Lineage: Bacteria; Bacillati; Actinomycetota; Actinomycetes; Micromonosporales; Micromonosporaceae
Description: tRNA-Ala
Source: RNAcentral